ACAGACAUGCACCACUCAGAGAACAGGAAGGGAACAACCUUCACAUAUUUUCAGUGGGAAAAAAAAAAUGUAUGUAUGUUUCCUUGUGUAUGUCUUUACAGGACAGCCAAGUAGCAGCCAGAAUCAUUGUAGCUUUUGAGUCCUUGAGAAGUGCAAACAAAUAUCUAUGUGUAAAUCACCAAGAUAAUGCCUGGAUCCAAAGUAAAAAUAGAAGUCACAAACUCUAAUCUUUGGACAGUAGUUAUAUCCUAUUUUCUAAUUAUCCUCUCCUAUCACAUGUAGUGUCUAAUAUAAAAGAGCGACAGGGUCUGAUAAAAGGGAAGCAUAGUUUUCAACCAGCUGCUCUAAAGAGGUGGGUAAGACCUCUGAGGGUAUUCUCAGAACAGUGAAAAAUACAUAGAUAAUGUGUGGCACCCCUCUUCCAGGGACCACUGUAAAAACAGAGACUACCAACCACAGAGGAAGAGGGAUGGUUUGCUGAAGGCCACACAAGAAUCACACCACUCAUUCAAGGAUAAAGCAGUGGGACUGCACUGCCUUCCACAUUACAUUACCAGCGUUCACCAAAACAUACAAAUGUUCUAAGUGUUAAAGAUACAAAUUUAUGAGAACUACAACUACAUUAACACAGUAAAAGAUCCCUAGACUCAUAAAUACUAAAUACCAAUCAUCAUUGCUAUGCACAUGUGCAAAAUGAGAAGAUGCUUAAAUAAGUACCUCCUGUUAGUUAUCUCUAACACUUCCAAAUGAAUAACCAUUUAUUUACUGCAGGAUGGAAAAUAUGAAUGUCACUAAAAACAAUCCCAUAUUCAUGCUUCAUAAAUUUUACUCACUCAUUAUAACUUAUUAAACUUUCAUAGAAUAUUAUCACUAUGGCAUUAUGAAAGCUAGGUUAGAUUUGAAUCAUGAGUCAAAAUAUAUACUCCUUACAGCUACCUGUGAUACUCACAGUAAGUGGUCCAUUAACAUCGAGAUUCUGCUUUUGCCAUAUGAAGAUACAGAAGUUGGUGGUGACUCCCAAGUAACGCAACAGAAGAAAUCAGAGGAGAAAUACGAGCAGUACUUAUUUGCAGCAAUGCUACCAGUGACAGGAAAGACACUUGGCCUUCCAGACAAGUCAGAAGAAAUCAGUGAAGGAUCAAUCUACGCCAAGGUUGUUAGAGCAUGUUAGCAACUGUAAUAUCAGAAAGCUCUCAGUACUGCUUUGGUCAAGGUAAGGAUCAGAAGAGAUUUUCCUGAUACCACAAGCUGCUUUGUGAAAGUGAUUGUAAGUAGUUCUGAUUUUAUUUUGUAGUGAAGAUAGUCAUGACAUAAAUGCAAAUUGCAAUAAUUUCUGCUCUUUUUUUUCCCAUUCCUAAAACCAUAACCAUUUUUCUCAUUUUUCUCUGAGAAGCACUCUUUGCAGUUGUUGUGGCAGAUCUUUUGUGUGUUAGAUGUUCUUUUGUAGGAGCUUGACUAGAAUUGCA
Corvus moneduloides (New Caledonian crow) is the source of this 1466-nucleotide long non-coding RNA. The record is from Ensembl. Lineage: Eukaryota; Metazoa; Chordata; Aves; Passeriformes; Corvidae.